This is a long non-coding RNA of Ostrea edulis (European flat oyster), 3051 nucleotides long. RefSeq lists it as uncharacterized. Lineage: Eukaryota; Metazoa; Mollusca; Bivalvia; Ostreida; Ostreidae. The transcript has 2 exons. The record is from RefSeq and is a predicted model, not a curated record.
AAUGAAGGGCCAUGUCCUUUUCAAAGGGGGAGAUAAUCACAAAAAUGCAGAAAUAAGGUGGGGCCAUUUAAAAAUCUUCUCAAGAACCACUGGGCCAGAAAAGCUGAUAUUUACUGGAAUGCUUCCUGGCAUAGUGCAGAUUCAAGUUUGUUAAAAUUAUGGACCCUGGGAGGUUGGAUUGGGCCACAAUAUGGGAUCAAAAUUUUACAUGCAAAUAUUUUGGAAAAAUAUUUAAAAAUCUUCUCAAAAACUUCUGGGACAGGAAAGUAGAAAUUUAUAUGAAAGCUUCCUGACCUUGGGCAGAUUCUAGUUUGUAAAAAGCAUGGUCCCCGGGGCAGGAUUGGGCCACAAGGGGGGAGGGGGUCAAAGUUUUACAUAGAAAUAAAUAGUAAAAAUGUUUAAAAAUCUUCUCAAAAACUACUAGACCAAGAGAGUGGAAAUUUACAUGAAUGCUACCUAUUUGGUAACAUAGUACAGAUUGAAAUUUGUUGAAAUUAUGGCCCCGAGGGUAAACUGUGGUGACAUUAGGGGAUCAAAGUUAAUUCACACACACACACACACACAGAAAAUCAUUAAAAAUCUUCUUCUGAAAAAUCACUGGGCCAGAAAAGUUUACAUUCACAUGAAAGCUUCCUGACAUAGUCCAGAUUCAAUUUUGGAAAAAAAAUCAUGGCCGUGGGAGUAGGUUGGGGCCACAAUAGUAGGGCUGCAACGGGUACCCAAAUUAACCAAAAACCAUGCGGGUUGUGUUGUUUGGGUUGGGUUCGGUUCCAUUUUUUUUUUUUUGUAUUUCGGUUCGGGUUUGCUUUUUAAAAUAGAAUCAAUAUUAGAAAUCCGUUGAAACGAAAUGUCGUCAAAAUCCUAAAGGUGGCUAUAUUUUGACCAAUGGUCAGAUGAUGGCAUUUUGGACAGAACUAUAAACAAUGACAGUAUGUAAGAUAUGUCAAACGCAUUGAAAAUACGCCACAGGUUCGACAUCGUCAAUGACAAAAUAUUGAAAACAUGGAAUGGAAACGAGAAGUGACAAUACUGUGUCGAGUACCAUGGUUGUCGAGUCUAAACCUCAGUCCACGUCCCCGAGUAAUUAUUGUGUUAAAACAAGUUAUGUAAACCAAAACUGAUAUAUCCGAAUCUGAAUUUUAAAAUUUAGAACCGACCCGACCUCAAAUUUUUUGGAUCUAUGACAGCCCUACACAAUAGGCAUCAAAGUUUUACAUGCAAAUAUAUAGGAAAAAAUCUUAAAAUAUGAGUCAAUGUGAGUCCGGUAAGCCAUGUUACCCAUGGGCUUCUUGUUCUUCACCAGAUCAAAAUCUGACUUUUGUUAGCAGGUUUUUUUUAGGUUUGGAGGCUGAUGUCAACUGUAGACAAUGUUCUUUAGUUAAAGUCAUUUAGAUUUUCGGAUUGUUGUGAAAUCGGGAAGCAAUGUUCCAAAGAAGUUUUUUGAAGUCUGAUCUUUGUCGAAUAUGGGCGCUACAGCAAAAAGUUGUUACUAAAAAUAGAGUUCAAUUUGAAAAAGUUAAGUGAGAUUAUCUUUUGUGGUUAAAUUUAGUUGCACUACCUCUGAGGAAAAAUUCAAUUAUAUAUGAAUGUCAAAUUUUCUGGGCAUGAGUUGUAAAUUUGCAAUAUUAAUAAAGAAAUUCUGUUUCUUUAUCAUAUAAUCAUAUACAAUUCAAGCACCUGAAGUUAUUGUUCAUUUUAGUUAUUAUUACAUAAUAUUACAUAUAUCAGUCAGUGCUCCAAGUUGUGAGUAAAACGGUCGCAUUUGCGACCAGAAAAUCAAUUUUGCGACUAGAGAUUAUGAUUAAGUCGCAUUUUCGCGAGUGAAGAAAAUUUGGGCAACCAGUAAAAUUUUAGAAUCGUGAUCGGAAGUCUGAAUAAAUAUUUUUAGUCUCGGUCAAAACAAUCAAGAUGGCGGGAAAACGAGGUUUAGAGCACUUUGGAUUUAUCAAUAGUAAAAAACAGAAGCCUCAGCCUUGUACAUGUAACAAAUAAAUUCAAAAAUCACACGGGGAAAGUUCUGCAUCAAAAGAUGGCGUAGCAAUGUCUAAAGAGAAAUGCAGAAGUAAAGGAAGAACCCCAGUCCUGAAAUGGCGGAGGAAAUUUUCGUGAUGGCAAAAUGUUUUGCAGGAUUUGUGAGGCCAGUAAGCCUGCAACGUCCACAAUUUCUAGACAUCCAUUGUCCUAUUUCGCCACGACCAAGUGUACAUCUUUCAAACGUGGAAAUGUGACUAUUCACGGUAACAGUAAGAGACAUGUUGUCCGUGACUGCAUUAUUAGCAGUAAAUCGAGCGGGGCAACUGUUGCUGUUAAUUUUCAAAGACAAUCAAACUCGGGAUGUAGUGUUCUUAUUGAUGCUGGUACUAAUUGUUCAGCAAAAGAUCCAACAAAACUAGGAGCUCUUAAUCUUAUUCGCAUAGCAUGAUAAGCAGUGAAGGCCCACUUAUUGAUAACUUUAAAGCAAAUCCUUGUGUAGAAUGCUGGGUUUCUUCUCCAGAAGCGUACUGUAAAAUAUACAGGAUGGCCCAAUGCAAUACAACUUUUGCCAGAGUAAAUUCUUGACUUGUUAGCAUCCAGCAUUUUUCACAGUACAUUUCUAUUCAGUUUCAAAAUAUAAAGAAACAAAAUGUAUACAUGGUGUUGAUUUUUUACUUGCAAGAUAUUCAUAUUUUUAAAAAAACCUUGUAAGUCUUAUAUUUACAAAAGCUUUUACUAUGGCGAGUAGAAAUUUUGAACAUGGCGACUAGAAAUUUGAAAAUGGCGACCAGAAAUAUUUUUAGGUCGCCAUAGUGCGACCUGAUAGCAGAUGCGACUUGGAGCACUGUAUCGUGUUUUUUUUUAUUAAUCAAUAAAAGCCCUGCGGCAAUAUGUGACCUAUUGCUAUCUGUUUUUGUCCGUCGUCGUGCGUUAACAUUUGAACAUUUUCAGCUUCUUCUCUGAAACCCCUGAACCAAUUUUGGCAUAUAGCAUCUGUGGGUGGAGGGGAACAUAAAUUGUGAAAUUCGUGGUCCCUGCCCCCCUGGGGCCUGAGGGGUGGGGCAAAAACCAUCAAAA